RNAcentral lists this ribosomal RNA (586 nucleotides) under [Candida] sp. YSF70. RNAcentral's name for it is "eukaryotic LSU rRNA". It matches the Rfam family "Eukaryotic large subunit ribosomal RNA", at positions 57 to 659 of the family's 3401-position model. The record is from RNAcentral. Lineage: Eukaryota; Fungi; Ascomycota; Saccharomycetes; Saccharomycetales.
AAAAGAAACCAACAGGGAUUGCCUUAGUAGCGGCGAGUGAAGCGGCAAAAGCUCAAAUUUGAAAUCUGGCUCUUUCAGAGUCCGAGUUGUAAUUUGAAGAAGGUAUCUUUGGGUCUGGCUCUUGUCUAUGUUUCUUGGAACAGAACGUCACAGAGGGUGAGAAUCCCGUGCGAUGAGAUGAUCCAGGCCUAUGUAAAGUUCCUUCGAAGAGUCGAGUUGUUUGGGAAUGCAGCUCUAAGUGGGUGGUAAAUUCCAUCUAAAGCUAAAUAUUGGCGAGAGACCGAUAGCGAACAAGUACAGUGAUGGAAAGAUGAAAAGAACUUUGAAAAGAGAGUGAAAAAGUACGUGAAAUUGUUGAAAGGGAAGGGCUUGAGAUCAGACUUGGUAUUUUGUAUGUUACUUCUUCGGGGGUGGCCUCUACAGUUUAUCGGGCCAGCAUCAGUUUGGGCGGUAGGAGAAUUGCGUUGGAAUGUGGCACGGCUUCGGUUGUGUGUUAUAGCCUUCGUCGAUACUGCCAGCCUAGACUGAGGACUGCGGUUUAUACCUAGGAUGUUGGCAUAAUGAUCUUAAGUCGCCCGUCUUGAAA